UAGGCGUAAAUGAUACUCGCUAGGUGUCAGGCAUGGCGCGACCGUGUCUGGUGCCGCAGGGAAGCCGUGAAGCGAGCCACCUGGGAAGUACGGCCGCAAGGCUGAAACUUAAAGGAAUUGGCGGGGGGAGCACAACAACGGGUGGAGCCUGCGGUUUAAUUGGACUCAACGCCGGACAACUCACCGGGGACGACAGCAAUAUGUAGGCCAGGCUGAAGACCUUGCCUGAAUCGCUGAGAGGAGGUGCAUGGCGUAGACGUCU
Molecule: ribosomal RNA, 262 nt
Filed under: uncultured archaeon
Lineage: Archaea
Description: partial 16S ribosomal RNA
Rfam family: Archaeal small subunit ribosomal RNA
Source: RNAcentral